Molecule: long non-coding RNA, 2016 nt
Organism: Triticum dicoccoides
Lineage: Eukaryota; Viridiplantae; Streptophyta; Magnoliopsida; Poales; Poaceae
Exons: 5
Source: RefSeq, a predicted model, not a curated record
CGUCCCCGGCAGCGGUGUCCAGUGAGCCAGAUUUAACGCUGGGGAGGAUGGCAGUUUGCCGUCGGGGAGGUGUUCCAUGGAUCAGAAUCAGAGCCGCCGUCUGAUCCGUGGAUCAGGAAAUUCGCUUUACUGUCUCGCCGCACGAGUCGAGUUGAAUCCAGAGUCCAGUCGUCUUCUCUUGCAAAGCGACUGGCGAUUUGAAGGCGACGACUGGGAGAUAAAGGUCAGGAGCGGCAGCGGCGAUCCAACAUGGAGUUCUUGAUGCAGCCGAUCGGCAGAUCUGCUGUGCUUGAGGAGAUAGAAGAGAGCCUGGUGCCUGCCCCUCUGGUUGCCGAUGACGAAGUGGUGGCGGAGCAUGCGGUGCGGCAGCAUCACAGGGCGGCGGACAGCGGCAAAGCACAAAUCAGGGGCGGAGGCCGCAGCGGGCAGAAGGGAUAGCUCCCCUCCGACGCUCGAGCUCUCAACGGGGAAGACGAAUCCCCAGGCGCCCGGAUGGAAUAAGAGGCUGAGGCUUGGUGCUGCUGCACCAAUCAGGACACCAUGCCCAAAUCGAAUCAGUGCGUUCGACAAGGCUGUCAAAUGUUUUGCAGAGAAACCGGCUGAAAAUGUGAUCACACCUGUUCUCGGCAUUACAUUCGACUCCUUGGGCGAGGCUUCUGGUGAUGCUCUCACUGAUUUGUUGUUAGUAAAUCAGAUACAAUGGAGUACAAUUUUUAUCUGAGAAGCUCAUGAAAAGCGUGCACAUAAUGAAGAGAUGCUUGGUUUCAUUAGGGCUAAAAAAUACCAGCUAAGCAUAUAGUGAAGACAUGGACGAGGGAUGCUCGCGACAUUCUGCCACCUCAUCUGAUACAAUACCAGAAGGACAGUAUGUAGAACAACCCUUUUUCGUACAGAAACUUCACGAUGUACAUGCACGCAAUGGAACUAGUCAGGCUGGGCGACACUAGUUUUGAAGCCUACAAUCAAUUGAUGGAGUUGUUCAAGUCGAAUUUGACAGUGAUGUUACCCUAUGCAGAAGUUAGGGAUGGUCUUGGCCUCGAGGAUAGACUGGCAGACAGGGGGGCUGUGGUGAAUCAGACUCCCAUGGAGCUGGUUUCGGCGGAACAAAACAUGAACGCCAAAGCAGCUACUGCUGUUUUAGCUAACAAUGAUUCGGUUUCGAGGACAAGCAACAGGUUGGAAGGACUGCUGGCUCCAGCGAAAAAGAAAGAUAUGGGAUGGCCAACGACAAGUACGGAGAAGGCUCCAUAUGAAGGUCUAAGCAAGAGGACUAGGUUUUGCACGAUAUGCUGAAAACAAGGGCAUAAGCAAACUAAAUGCCCUGAUGUGGUGAUGUCCCUAAGCAACCUCGGAAGCCUGCCAAAUGACUAGGGUUGGAUUAGUUGGCAGGACGAGGAUGAAGUUGGUUCCGGCCAAGAGCAGCGUCGUGCGCUGGCUGUCGGCGGAGCAGCGUGGAGGCGCGGCACGGGGGAGGCUCAGCUGCUGCAUCUGUGGCUGCAUGCGCACAUGUGCUGGCUGAAUCUCCGCCUGGCUGCUAUGGUCGAAGUUGUGGUCUCGCCUGUAUCUCUGCUGAAGGGGAGCCGACGGGUGCAUAGCAAGGGGGGUUGCAGCACGUACGGCUGCGUCAGCCCUGCGCGAGUCAGCUCGGGCAGAGCAAGCUCGGCGCGCGCGAGGCGAAGGUGACCACCUUGUCGAGGUAGUCGGGGCAAGGGAUAGGUGGCAGCACUUCCUGAGGCUGCAAGGAAGAAAAGUGAAUCUUCCAGAGCAAGGGUGUGUGCGGUCGAUGCAGUGCAUGUAUAUAUUAAAAAAAUGUUUGCUGGAAGCCACCGUUAGGUGUGUAACGGCUGAGCCGUGGACCACGACGCUAGUGUCCAUCUGAGCCGGCUAGUGCUGGAUGAUGGAUGUCCCAAUAAAUGCGGUCGGUGAGUGGGCCCUAUUCUAUAGAAAAGCAUCUCAUACUACUCAGAAUACGCAGUAAAAUACAUCUCCUGGUGCGAAUCUUAGCGCCAGACAACG